RNA transcript from Asparagus officinalis (garden asparagus), 2157 nucleotides. RefSeq lists it as uncharacterized. The record is from RefSeq and is a predicted model, not a curated record. Lineage: Eukaryota; Viridiplantae; Streptophyta; Magnoliopsida; Asparagales; Asparagaceae. The transcript has 9 exons.
CAUUUUAUUAACGGGUUUUAUUAAAGCCCAACUCGACCUGGUAAUAUAAACGAAACCCAACAUCAGCGAUCUCUCUCUCUCUCUCUCAUGCCGAAACCCUAACACUAUUCCGGCGAAUGCCUGGCUCCAGUCAGUCUCAGUUCGGGUGGCGGCGGUCUUUGAAGUAGGCAUUGCAAGCAUCGGUUCGGGAUGAAUAGGCAACAACAGGGAGUAGGAAAUGUGUUCAGUCUCUGGGAGCAACGCCGACGUUUCGCUGCCGUUUAUGUUAUAUGUCUUGUGGUAAAUUGGUUAAUGCGACGGAGGAUACGUCGUAGGGAUCAUAUUGAUCGUCCCAUUAUGCGGUCAGAUGACGAAAGAAAAAAAGCGCGUGAAGAACUCAUACACCAUGUUAAAACAAGCACAAGAGCGCGUGCACUUGUACGAAUGGGUCCAGAAACUUUUAACAAUUUGUGUGACAUUCUUAGAGCCCACGGUGGUCUUACAAGCACACGUCUAUCAUCGGUUGAAGAACAAGUUAUCACUUUCCUUAACAUCUUAGGUGUGAACCAACUUAAUCGUACACUCCAAUGCUAUUUUCGCCGUUCUGGUGAAACUGUGAGUCGACAUUUUCAUAGAGUGUUAAGGGCAAUGAUUCUAUUGGAAGAAAUAUUUCUUCAACAACCUGAUGGAUCUGAAGUCCCUCCAGAAAUUGCCAACAAUACUAGGUUUUGGCCAUAUUUUAAGGAUUGUGUUGGAGCCAUCGGUGGGACACAUAUUCGUGUUAAAGUUUCCACUUUGCUCGCAUCACGCUAUCGAGACAUGGGAAAAAGGAAUAGUGUGGGCAGUGGUUGGAUGGAGAGUUUAGAUGAAAGCAAAAGAGAUAAGUUACAGUGGACAGAGAAGAUGGAUGAGUGUCUUAUUGAUGCACUUUUGCAUCAGCAAACCAUUGGAAAUAGAGUGGAUGGAACAUGGACUUGUGUUGCUUUAUCUAAUGUCUCCAAAGAAUUGACUGAAAAACUAGAGAUGGAUAUCAACAAAGAUAGGGUGAAAAAUCGUAUGAAAACUAUUAAGCAAAACUUCAACAGUUGCUUUGAUUUAUUCAAAAAUUUUAGUGGGUUUGCUUGGUGUCCAACUACAAGUAUGUGGAUGGCUGAACGUGAAGCUUGGGAGCCUUUGUUAAAGGCAAAUCCUAAUGCUUCAAAGUUUAUGAAGUAUCCCUUUCAUAACUACGACAAGAUGUUGCAAUUGUUUGCUAAUGAUAGAGCUACCGGCGAGGGUGCUAUGACAGCUAAGGAGAAGCGCCGACGUCUACAAAACUCAACAAAUAUGGGUCAAGAUCAGUGGAUCAGCCUAUGUCUCACAUUCAGCUGGGAUGCAAUCUGGAACUAAUAACGGCACCGCCUCCGGUCAACACCGUUGGCAGCAUCUCACGCACCAGCAGCAUCGCUGGCAGCAUCUCACGCACCAGCAGCACCUCCGGUCAAGCCCAUCUCUCUCUCUCGCACGGUUUCACCUUUCACACACUCUCUCACUUCCUCCGGCGACACCAGAACUUCCCUCCGGCGACACCAAAACUUCCCUCCGGCAACACCAAAACUUUCCUCCGGCGACCAGUAGCAACGACAUCUCCAUCUCUGUUGGGCUUCGUCUGCAACAGAGAGAAAAAGACAGUAGAGACGAGACAAAAAGUCAAACAACAAGCUCCUUGAGAUUUCAUUACAACAGUGGAGAUCAGUGCAUUUAUGCGUGUACCCGAAGAUGACGAGGGGAGAUGAGUGCAAAAGUGCAGCGUUCCAAAGAUGUAGAUGCAUGUGCUUCCUAAAAGGCAGCUGAGUUUUUUUUUUCAAUGUGCAACCUUCUCAUUAUGAUAAGCAGGAUGCUUAUGUAGCAUAAAUGGAAGAAGAUGAUGAUGAUAUUGCUGGUAUUGAGGCUAUUAAAUAUGAUGAUAUUGAUAGUGUUCUCAAAUCGCAGAAGACACAACGCAAUAUUGAUAUUAUGAAGGUUUUCUUCAACACAGAGAUUUUUCAAAGAAGUCCUCUUUCUCACCGCCGCUGAGUUUUGGUCCAUAUUCAGUUACUGAUGUGCUCGACUGCUGGAACAACCUGGAUGUUUUUGAGAGCUGAGAAUAGGAAUGAGAAUCAACUGAUGGAGUCAAAGAAAUAAACAGUGAUCAUUUGA